ACCAGGGGUCACCAACAAGAGCCAGGUCAGUCCACACACAUACAGUAUACCAGGGGUCACCAACAAGAGCCAGGUCAGUCCACACACAUACAGUAUACCAGGGGUCACCAACAAGAGCCAGGUCAGUCCACACACAUACAGUAUACCAGGGGUCACCAACAAGAGCCAGGUCAGUCCACCCACAUACAGUAUACCAGGGGUCACCAACAAGAGCCAGGUCAGUCCACCCACAUACAGUAUACCAGGGGUCACCAACAAGAGCCAGGUCAGUCCACACACAUACAGUAUACCAGGGGUCACCAACAAGAGCCAGGUCAGUCCACCCACAUACAGUAUACCAGGGGUCACCAACAAGAGCCAGGUCAGUCCACACACAUACAGUAUACCAGGGGUCACCAACAAGAGCCAGGUCAGUCCACCCACAUACAGUAUACCAGGGGUCACCAACAAGAGCCAGGUCAGUCCACACACAUACAGUAUACCAGGGGUCACCAACAAGAGCCAGGUCAGUCCACACACAUACAGUAUACCAGGGGUCACCAACAAGAGCCAGGUCAGUCCACACACAUACAGUAUACCAGGGGUCACCAACAAGAGCCAGGUCAGUCCACCCACAUACAGUAUACCAGGGGUCACCAACAAGAGCCAGGUCAGUCCACCCACAUACAGUAUACCAGGGGUCACCAACAAGAGCCAGGUCAGUCCACACACAUACAGUAUA
Oncorhynchus keta (chum salmon) is the source of this 721-nucleotide long non-coding RNA. RefSeq lists it as uncharacterized. Lineage: Eukaryota; Metazoa; Chordata; Actinopteri; Salmoniformes; Salmonidae. The record is from RefSeq and is a predicted model, not a curated record. The transcript has 3 exons.